This 347-nucleotide long non-coding RNA is filed under the name Apteryx owenii (little spotted kiwi). RNAcentral's name for it is "lncRNA (ENSAOWG00000004154.1)". The record is from RNAcentral. Lineage: Eukaryota; Metazoa; Chordata; Aves; Apterygiformes; Apterygidae.
UGGCGCUGCUGGUCCAGGCCCAUUACAGCACAGGGCUCGCCGUGCCGGACAGCCGGGGAUCCCAGAGGGGACUGCUCGCCGCAGGGUGAAGAAACAUGGAGAAAACGCCCAGAGGUUCUUGUUCCAGAGCCACUGCUACCUGAAGAACUCACGGCCGUCUCUGCAGAGGGCUGCAGCCGUGUUUGUAGCGGGCUUUGGAUAAGGCUCAGACUUCUCCAGCACCAGCGAACCCAUGUCAGGAUUUUGAAGCUUUGGGAAAGACCAUUUUAGAGUUGGAGAAUUCCCUGCUGUUCGGUGUGUGGGCACGCUCAGGGCUUCUGGUCACGCGCCCGGACAAAAUCCGGGAG